UCACCUUUGGAUAUGGAUUUGGUAGAACCAAUGCAGUUCAUUAACCAAAUUGGACUGAAUGUAGUCCCUCCCAGAGACCAAGAUGUGACUUUGGGUUGCUAGCUUACUGGUAGUUGGGACAAACAAAUCACUCCAAGAUGUCACCUUUGGAAUGGACUUUGCAGAACCGCUGCAGUUCAGGAACCAAAUUGGACUGAAUCAAGUCCCCUCAGAGACCAAGAUGUGACUUUUGGGAUGCUAGCUCUAGAUAGCUGAGAAAAAUCAGUCCAAAAUAUCACCUUUGAAUAUGGAUUUGGUAGAACCAAUGCAGUUUAGGAGCUAAAUUAGACUGAAUCGAGUCCUCCCAGAGACUAAGAUGUAACUUUGGGAUUCUAGUUUAUUGGUAGUUGGGACAAACAAAUCAGUCCAAGAUGUCACCUUUGAGUAUGGAUUUUGCAGAACUGGUGCAGUUCAGGAACUAAAUUAGAAUGGAUCCAGUCGUCCCAGAGACCAAGAUGUGACUUUGGGAUGCCAGCUCACUGGUAGUUGAGACAAACAGAUCAAGCCAAGAUGUCACCUUUGAAUACGGAUUUGGUAGAACCAAUGCAGUUCAGGAGCCAAAUUAGACUGAAUCAAGUCGUCCCAGAGACUUCACCUUUGGACAUCACCUUUGGAUAUGGAUUUGGUAGAACCAAUGCAAUUCAUUAACCAAAUUGGACUGAAUGUAGUCCCUCCCAGAGACCAAGAUGUGACUUUGGGAUGCUAGCUUACUGGUAGUUGGGGCAAACAAAUCAUUCCAAGAUGUCACCUUUGGAUAUGGACUUCACAGAAUCGCUGCAGUUCAGGAACCAAAUUGGACUGGAUCCAGUCCUCCCAUCAGAGAUGAAGGGGAAUUCCUCUAAUUCUUUCAUGGAAGGAGAAAAAGAGCCAAUCGGGAAUUCCUGACAUCCAGCUUUGAAGAAAAAUGUAGGUUGGGGCUGGAAUCCGAGCACUACUCCCAACAGCAACAGAGUGGUGGAGGAAGAUGGCUUGCACUGGAGAGUCAGAAGAUGUGGGUUCGGGCCCCAGUUCCUCCAUGGAACAGUUGUUUUUCCUUGGGAAAAAUCACUCAAUCUAUUUGGACUUAAUUUUUUCAUUUUAAAAAAGGAGAGGGAUCAUUCUGUGAGAACUGGAUGGUGAUCUAGUUUCUACAGGGUUAUGAAAAUUGAAUCGGUGUAAUUGAAAUUUAAAUUAGAAAAUUCGAAACCUAAGAAAUGGGAGGCUGGGACCCACAAGGAAAUCAAAGUAAUGAAAUCAGGGGUGGGGAUUUUAGAUUUGAAAAGGAACUCUCUGGAUUUGCCCCCUUCUCCUGCCUGCUUCCUCCCAAAUCUGGUUCCUUCCAAGUGUUAGCUUCUUCCAAAAGAAAGUAAGCUCCUUGAGAGCAGGGACUGGUUUGUGAUAUCAGGGUAGGGAAUUAGAACAGGAGAUACUUGUGAGAUGUAAUGAGUGGUGGAGAUUUCACACUCUGGAACUUUAGUAACAACUCUAUUAAUGGGGAAUCGGGAAGGGCAAACACUUCAGAAUACAUAGGAGUGUCUUUCUGGUUUCCAAAAACGUGCUCAUUUAUGAAGUCUUUCUUGCAAUAAUGGAAAAUAAAAUCUUUCCAGCACUCA
Long non-coding RNA from Sarcophilus harrisii (Tasmanian devil), 1631 nucleotides. RefSeq lists it as uncharacterized. The transcript has 2 exons. The record is from RefSeq and is a predicted model, not a curated record. NCBI's taxonomy places the organism in Eukaryota, Metazoa, Chordata, Mammalia, Dasyuromorphia, Dasyuridae.